GCCCGUCUAGCUCAGUUCGUAGGGCGCAAGGCUCUUAAUUUUGUGAUCGUGGGUUUGAGCCCACAGUGGGCG
Molecule: transfer RNA, 72 nt
Filed under: Prunus persica (peach)
Lineage: Eukaryota; Viridiplantae; Streptophyta; Magnoliopsida; Rosales; Rosaceae
Rfam family: tRNA
About the family: Transfer RNA (tRNA) molecules are approximately 80 nucleotides in length. Their secondary structure includes four short double-helical elements and three loops (D, anti-codon, and T loops).
Source: Rfam by way of RNAcentral